GGGGAUUCUGGGCCUGGUAGUUCCGACCUCAAGCGCAACCGCCCGCCGGCGGGCGCCGGAAGUGGGGCUCCUGAGACUGGUGGUUGGGCCACCGCGGGGCGCAGGUACCUCAGCGGUUUAACUUGGCCGUAGAGGCGCGGUUGUCACCUCAGGUUGAGAUUUUCGGGAGAAAACUGGAAAUGCUUUGUCACGAUACGAGUUUACACAGUCGCGAAGAAGGGCCCUAAAGCGGGAGGCCCUGCCAUGCCUCCACCUCAGAACCAGAGCCAAGAGCUGGCCGUUGUGGCGCCUUCUUCCCCCAUGGCCGCCUAACGGGGGCUUUCAUCGGUGGCUUCCGGGGAAACGCACAAAGGUGUCAGGGAAAACGAAGUCAGAGACCUCCAGUAAAUAAUGUCAGCCUGGAGCCCGUUGUACCCCUGCGCUUUUCACAACCCACGAAGAACCAUAGGUGAUUCCCUUUUUGAAAAACACCACCAGAUAACAGGGUUCAGUGAGAGGCCCUCUAGAGCACCAGUGUGGGGUUCUAAGCAAGAAAAUGUAGGAGAGCCUCGAAAUUUUUCAAAGAAAAGCGAGGAGGGCGGAGCCGUGAGGCUGUGUGGUGGAACUUUGUAUUUGGUGUUGACUGUACCAAGCUCUGUGAUGAAAAGGAAACCUUAAGAUUAAGACCCUCUCCUCUCCUUGGCACCGUACAGAAGAAAAAACUCAGAGGUUAAUCUACUUUCCUAAGCUUAUAAAGCUAAUUCAUAGCAGAACUAAAACUCAGGUGUCUCAAACUUCCCAUGGCCAAUGCUUUUUUACUUAAUAAUCGCAGUGACUCCAGGGAUGCAGUGAAUUAUGAGCUUCACUUCAAGUCUCGCUCUUCACUCGAGUGACAUUAUGAUUAAAGCUGAUUAAGAAUAUGGAAGUUCAAUAUGAAUCUUAUGUUGAUCUCAGAAUGGUUAUAGAAUCUUCUUUUCCAGAAAUGCCACAGCCUCUUGACACUUCUUAAAAAUCAGCAGGCACCUCUACUGUCUGUCAUGUCCAGAUUCUUGGAUGAAACGCAGGACAAAAUGUACAUUAAAGUUUGAAAGUGACCAGUGAAAAGGAAGAGGGAGAUAAAGAAAAUUUGAGAACCAGUGCUUCUGAGUAGUGCUUAACUGUAUCGAGAUCUGUACUGGCAACUAUGAGAUCCAAUAAACUCUAUUGAAUUGAGUUCCAGAUAAAGAAGUUGAUAAAGUUGCCCUUAUCAGUUUAAUUUCAAAGAACAAAAGGAAAAAUCUCUGAGCAAUUUUGGUGACUCUUCAAAAUCAGAAAUGCUCUGAUUUUUAUACAUACAGAGCUACAAGUAAGUCUUCUUUAUUUUAAUCUAGAUUUAAGGCAAGUAAAUGAGAACAAGACUCUUACUCAAAUACACAUGGACUUGGUUCACAGCAACAGGUCUUUCCCAGAAACAUUUUAAUUUUUUAAUAUA
Talpa occidentalis (Iberian mole) is the source of this 1450-nucleotide long non-coding RNA. RefSeq lists it as uncharacterized. The record is from RefSeq and is a predicted model, not a curated record. Lineage: Eukaryota; Metazoa; Chordata; Mammalia; Eulipotyphla; Talpidae. The transcript is spliced from 3 exons.